GAGAGGGUUCAUUGGAAAAGGGGGUGGGGGCAGUGAGAGCUUGUGAGAAAUGCGUGGUGGUGCACAGAGCUGGCUCUGAUGGCUGCCUAUAAGUGAAGUUAUUACAUCACUUCCAACUGAUCCACGGCCACUGCCAGGGUGAGGCCAGCCAAGGCUAACCACCAGCACAGUGGAAAGCAACCGCCACAUACACCAAACACACAUCACCGCCAGAAGCAGCCUCAGUGACUGCUUCAGUAACCCCAUGGCAACGUGUGACCCAGAAUAGUUGCAAAUGUUUUGGGAAGAGGAGGGGAGGGUUGAUAAAUUGGGCUACCUUCAGCGCCCCCCCUCCCCUCCAUCUGCUCUCGUUGUGUCUUGCGCAAAAUGUGACACGCAUAAGAAAAAGGGGGAAUUCCAGGAAGCCGGGCAGAGCGAGCAACAUUACACAAUGUCGACCGAUUGCUGCCCAUUGCAUCAUCGCCCUGCAUCUUUCGUCUCUUCACAGGCUAACUCUGGGAACUGCCAAAGUGGCAGUGGACGAAAUAAAGCAGGAACUUCGCUUCGGGAUGGGUGACAAUAAAAAGGAGACGUCUUCUCGUAACUGCUGCUCGAGCUGAGGGUUUUACGGAAGCAGAGCAGAAGCUGGGAGACGAAUGUAGAGCGAGACAACUCCCCCAAACCCUAAAGUUGCUUACAAAACAGAACGAGCUACGAGAGGAUACGACUUCUGCAAGCCGAAAGUAUUUAAGGACCAGCGAGGCAGAGCGUCUGCGUGCGUGUGUGUGAGAGUGAGAGAUGCAGGCUGCCUGAAUGAAGACAUUGAGGGGAUUUCCUGGUGCCGAGAGACGCAUCAUGCCAAAGGCAUCCGGCAGGAUUAGCGGCUGGAGCCAAACAUGUCCUCACUCUGCAGCGCAGCUACGGCAGUCAUGCAGAGACAGCUCGUAGACUUAAACCCAUUUCACGAGACAGAAUGUCAAACAGCUGUGGUUCAGGAAGACUAAAGGAAGUGUUUCGGCUUUGCCAGCAAGCUGUUUAUCCAUGAAGAGCGUCUCGGUUCCUGGCUUUUGAUGCUCACAGAGGCUAACCUCGGGCUCUGCUGCUGCUGACGGCAUUGUCCUUACAGUCAAACAAGCCGUGCAGACAAAGCUCAAUCAGGACAACUUCCUCUUGGUUUCUGGAGCAGCGGGGGCCAGACCUCACUGCACUUUCACAGAUAAACACUGCACUUCACAAACUAGACUGCGAUUCACCAUGAAGACACAGUUUGACUUUGCACUGUCUCCUCAGUUGUAACGCUACUCUGCAACAUGUGCUCCAGGACUCACUGCAGAGUAUUACUGACACGGGAUUCUGAGCGGCUCUGCUGGAUAAACUAUGUGAUCGUCACGACAAGUAUCAGUUUCUGCAUUAUGGUCUGUAAAGGGAAAAGUUGUGUUAUUAGAAACGCCUAAGAAUAAAUCCAAUAAAUCCCUGACAGGCCAUUUUACUCUAGUAGGUUCCCGCCACACUCUGUGCCACCGGGACAACAUUGCCUCGAUAGCACAUACAUGAACACUCACGCUCACUCGGUGAAAACAACAGCAGCCAUGUUAUCACAGCUGGUAAUCAAGCAAUAUAAAAAAAUAUAUUAAAAAAAACAUGGAUUCAAGAGAAACUAAUCCUCCCAUCUCUCUGUGAGUCACAGUAACCUUUGAGAGGCCAGCUUUUCCUCAGUGGGCAUCUGGAAAGCAGUGAAGCUCCUGUGAAUUCAGCAUAUGAUAGCACGGGUUUACGGUCAUCGUGGAGCGGCCAGCGUGAGGUAAAGGAAGCCGUGAUGCUGAACUAAUGACCGGCAAAGCCUCCCGUGUGACACUGAGAGGUGACACCAUGAUGUUAAAAGGAGUGAACAUAACUUUCUCAUAAGUAAACUGCAGGGGGGGAUGAUAAUGUUAAUAUUAAUAAUAAUAAUACAAUCUGCAUGAGCAAACUCUGUAGCACAUGACAUACUCCCAUGCAGUACUCAAAGGUUUUUCAGAUUAAAAUGAGACGCUGUGAAACUCUGCUUAACAGACUUUCACUUGUUUUUUUUUCCCCUCCCUGACCUUUGUCUUCAUUAGUCCCAUCAAAAUGCAAUUAAUAACCCAGCACGUUUGUCUCUGGCACCAUUCACUGUGGGAUUCUGUCCUCUUAUCAGCACAGUGGUUUGUUUUGCUAGAGGCACGCCAGCCAUAUCUGUGGGUGGUUUCCACUUGACAGUUUGACUCUCACUUUAAGGCUAUUCCUGAGCUCCAGGGCACGCCACGGCGAUGAUGAACUCAUCCAUCAGGGUGCCGCUCAGGCUCCUUCUCGUGAGUGCACUUCCUAUUGAUUUGAUUUGAUGAAGACGGUGGCCUCAUUAAGAUGUAAUUUAGCGCAUCAUCUCAGAGAUCUGCCGUCUCUGGAUGAAGCUCACCUGCAUCCUCGUCGCUUUCUCACCGCCUCAGGAAGGCAGAAAAAUCUCCUCGAAACCAAAAACAAAAGGGCAGGAAACCAAAAAAGUAACACACGAAGGACUUUUCAGGACAAGAACACUGAGGUUUCCUCUUUUCAAGAAAAACACCAGCUAAAGUAACCACAGUGAAUCACAGAGGACUGGAAAACUGACAGCAGAGAGAGAGAGAGCGAGGAAGGACACGGGCUAUGAAUGACUCUACAAUCACAUAUGAUGGCAAUGACUUUCCAGCAAUAAGACAUGCAAUUUAUGUCCUUAGACGUUGCUCAAUCCAUGUGGAAGAGUGCUGUGCACUGGAAACGACCACUUAGCAAAAAGCAAACUUCCCCCCUCCCCACUAUUUUCUUUUUGUUGCAACAGAAACAGUUUGUUGUGUCUUUAAAACUUUAUUGUGUCUCCUUCCUUGUCCAAAUCCAAAUUCAGCAACAUAACAGCUGCACUGAAAUCACCUGGAGGCUCUCAAACUAACACUUUCCACUUGCAGGAAGGCCUACCUGUAAAUGCACUGCACAUGAUUUGUGUUACGAGCACUCACUUAAAAAGAAGCUAUAAUAACAUCACUAAUAUCUGCAAAUCUACUGUACUGUUGUCGAGUUUUAUUUCCUAUAAAUGAGAAAUAAUAGUAACAAGCGGUGCUCACAAUCAGGGGGAAAAACCCACAG
This is a long non-coding RNA of Oreochromis niloticus (Nile tilapia), 3114 nucleotides long. RefSeq lists it as uncharacterized. NCBI's taxonomy places the organism in Eukaryota, Metazoa, Chordata, Actinopteri, Cichliformes, Cichlidae. The record is from RefSeq and is a predicted model, not a curated record. The transcript is spliced from 4 exons.